UCCGAGGGGGGCGAGCGUUGUUCGGAAUUAUUGGGCGUAAAGGGUGCGUAGGCGGUUUGGUAAGUCUUAUGUGAAAUCUACAGGCUCAACUUGUAGUCUGCAUGAGAAACUGCCGGGCUUGAGUAUGGGAGAGGUGAGUGGAAUUCCUGGUGUAGCGGUGAAAUGCGUAGAUAUCAGGAGGAACACCUGUGGCGAAAGCGGCUCACUGGACCAUAACUGACGCUGAUGCACGAAAGCUAGGGGAGCAAACAGG
Molecule: ribosomal RNA, 253 nt
Filed under: uncultured bacterium
Lineage: Bacteria
Description: partial 16S ribosomal RNA
Rfam family: Bacterial small subunit ribosomal RNA
Source: RNAcentral